UGGGGAAUUUUGCACAAUGGGGGAAACCCUGAUGCAGCGACGCCGCGUGAUUUAGAAGGCCUUCGGGUUGUAAAAAUCUUUUCUAUGGGAAGAAAAUGACAGUACCAUAGGAAUAAGGACCGGCUAAUUACGUGCCAGCAGCCGCGGUAAUACGUAAGGUCCGAGCGUUGUCCGGAAUCAUUGGGCGUAAAGGGUACGUAGGCGGGUAAGCAAGUUAGAAGUGAAAUCCUGUAGCUCAACUACAGUAAGCUUUUAAAACUGCUCAUCUUGAGAUAUGGAAGGGAAAGUGGAAUUCCUAGUGUAACGGUGAAAUGCGCAGAUAUUAGGAGGAAUACCGGUGGCGAAGGCUACUUUCUGGCCAUAAUCUGACGCUGAGGUACGAAAGCGUGGGUAGCAAACAGG
RNAcentral lists this ribosomal RNA (402 nucleotides) under Bacteroidota bacterium. RNAcentral describes it as "Bacteroidetes bacterium partial 16S ribosomal RNA". It matches the Rfam family "Bacterial small subunit ribosomal RNA", at positions 355 to 776 of the family's 1533-position model. Lineage: Bacteria; Pseudomonadati; Bacteroidota. The record is from RNAcentral.